CAUGUUAUAACUUUUGAUAAGUGUUAUUAUUUACAUUAAUAAUUGAGUUGUUUGAAUCAACUUGGCAUGA
RNAcentral lists this transfer RNA (70 nucleotides) under Micronecta sahlbergii. Its description in RNAcentral is "tRNA-Val". The record is from RNAcentral. Lineage: Eukaryota; Metazoa; Arthropoda; Insecta; Hemiptera; Micronectidae.